UCUAGUACAGUUUCUGUUGCCGCAGCAAUCGCGAUCGCGAACCCAAUCUGCUGCAUGCAGCUUGCGAUCGUGAGAAAUGGACUCCUGCGUUCGACCUGCUCGCUCUCAUGGCUUAAUUUACUGCCCGAAUCAAGAUCGGAGUUCCUUGCCAUAUCGCAGCGCCAAGGCUGCCGGAGCUGACGCACCAUAUUGGAGACAACCGGCGGCAGGCCGGACUGCGAGAAGCCGCGGGAGGUGAGUGAAGCAGGCCGAGCUCCGCUCUAAGAGCGCGCCGAUGGUGCUUGACGAAAUGGCCCCGUCGGAAUGCCCGGGUGGUGGUGCUCGACUAAAUGACCCCCUGCGGGUGCAGGACUGGUGCUCGACGAAAUGCGUGAAAGAAACCAUCCUGAGAAAGGGGCAUCCCGUGUCUUUCUCCCACCCAGGUUGCCAGGCGCUGCAGCUGGGGCUAUGCUUUCUCUGAAGUUCUCUGCAAUGCCCGGACGUAAUUCCAGCCACUGCGGCAGCAACAUGACGAUGACAACAAUGGACGCCACAAAGGAGGUGGAGUUGCUGUAGAAGAAGGCGAGGUACCGGGGCCUCCUGUUGUCAUGCAUGAUCGGGUUGCCUGCAUCAUACCAACUGCUGUCGUGCUGCCAAGCUCCCCCAGGCGGAUCUAGACCAGCCUGAACGGUAGGAACAGUGCAGCUAUGACAAAGAGGACCACAACCCCCAAGACAAAGAUGUAGAUGGAUGUUUUCAGAUGCUGGGUGCUUCCGGCAGCAUAGGCCCCUAUCAGACCAAACAUGCCCGCCGCCGUGCAAACAGCGAGUGCAUAACUUCGUAUGGCUGGCCUAUAUAAAUGGGGGUUCACGAGCAAUAUAAUGAGGGC
Molecule: long non-coding RNA, 868 nt
Organism: Triticum aestivum (bread wheat)
Lineage: Eukaryota; Viridiplantae; Streptophyta; Magnoliopsida; Poales; Poaceae
Exons: 3
Source: RefSeq, a predicted model, not a curated record